UACGGAGGAUCCAAGCGUUAUCCGGAUUUAUUGGGUUUAAAGGGUGCGUAGGCGGCCCUGUAAGUCAGUGGUGAAAUAUCUCAGCUUAACUGAGAGGGUGCCAUUGAUACUGCAGGGCUUGAGUACAGAUGAAGUAGGCGGAAUUGACGGUGUAGCGGUGAAAUGCAUAGAUAUCGUCAAGAACACCGAUAGCGAAGGCAGCUUACUAAGCUGUAACUGACGCUGAGGCACGAAAGUGUGGGGAUCAAACAGG
RNAcentral lists this ribosomal RNA (253 nucleotides) under uncultured bacterium. RNAcentral's name for it is "partial 16S ribosomal RNA". It matches the Rfam family "Bacterial small subunit ribosomal RNA", at positions 524 to 776 of the family's 1533-position model. The record is from RNAcentral.